CCUACAAUUAUGGUAGCAGUGAAUACCUAGCCAGGUAGCAUAGUAACAACAGAAGCCUAUGAUCUUUAGAAGUAUAUGGUACAAGUUUUAUUGAUGUCAGAUAGCGAAUUGUGCAGCAGAGGAAAGUUAGCUAGGAUACAAAAGCUAAAAAAGGACCCUAGGUGUGUUUAGAGCUGUUAUGUUGAAAAGGUCUGCUCCCCUUGGCCCUGCUACAAGUGAGUAAUUACAGCUCUUAGGAACCUACAGCUCACAGAAGCAACAGAAGCCUAAAUGGAUCUGCUACAUUCAAUUCAUGGACCAGCACUGUGAAGGCAUCUCCCGAUACAAUGUAUCGAACAAAGAACAUUAUAUCACUAUAGUUAUUACUCUAAAGGUGUGUGCUGCUCCUUGCUGUCCUGGCCCCAUACACAAGUGCAAGUGCAGUGGAUCCAGAGUCCCUACACAAGCUAGGAUACACAUCCGCGCUAUCAUUGAAACAACUAGAAGUCACUAAUGGAUCUAAUACAACAACGGUUGUUCAAUUUCAAGUUUGCAGAAUUGAUAAUCACACAAACUUUUCAGUGGUAGUUGGAAAAGGAAGUGGUCCAGUGUACAUUCACAACACUCGUGUGGAUUACCCAGUUUACAAGAAAGGAGACAUCACAAUCACGUACAACCAAGAAUGGUUUCCAGACAAGUUCUGCAAGAGAGUUAAUGUCUAUGUACACGGAGAUGUAGUGAAUAACGGAACAAUGCUACAGUUUGGUUUCUAUCACGCAAACCAGACAAACCCAAAUAUUGUGGAAUAUGAAACAGUGCUUUUCACAGUGGAAGAUGAUGACAACACAACGGAGUCUCUAAGUCAGAGUGGAACAAAAGAUUUUCUGAUGUCAGCAAAGAUUACACUAACUUUUGCCACACUGUGUAUGUGGUGGGGGAUAUGAGGUUGGCGACUCCUAAAGCAAAUGGGAGAAAGAUGGACUCUCCCUCAUUAUGAUUGAUUUUAUUUUUUAUACUCAGUGCCUGAUGCACUCUAUUAUCUAUUUAUGUUCAGUAGACACUUUAGCAACCCCAUCAUGUGUAUUAAGUACCUAUGAUUUUGGCACUAGGGUACUAUAGUCCUCCCAACACACAUCAUUAUCUAUCACAAUUGCAUGACAAUCAUUUUAUGUUGUUUGUGUAUCCUAUACUCUUAAUUAAGCUG
Molecule: long non-coding RNA, 1183 nt
Organism: Halichondria panicea
Lineage: Eukaryota; Metazoa; Porifera; Demospongiae; Suberitida; Halichondriidae
Exons: 5
Source: RefSeq, a predicted model, not a curated record